GACGAACGCUGGCGGCGUGCUUAACACAUGCAAGUCGAACGGAAAGGCCCUGCUGUUGUGGGGUGCUCGAGUGGCGAACGGGUGAGUAACACGUGAGUAACCUGCCCUUGACUUUGGGAUAACUUCAGGAAACUGGGGCUAAUACCGGAUAGGAGCUCCUGCUGCAUGGUGGGGGUUGGAAAGUUUCGGCGGUUGGGGAUGGACUCGCGGCUUAUCAGCUUGUUGGUGGGGUAGUGGCUUACCAAGGCUUUGACGGGUAGCCGGCCUGAGUGGGUGACCGGCCACAUUGGGACUGAGAUACGGCCCAGACUCCUACGGGGGGCAGCAGUGGGGAAUAUUGCACAAUGGGCGGAAGCCUGAUGCAGCAACGCCGCGUGCGGGAUGACGGCCUUCGGGUUGUAAACCGCUUUCGCCUGUGACGAAGCGUGAGUGACGGUAAUGGGUAAAGAAGCACCGGCUAACUACGUG
RNAcentral lists this ribosomal RNA (468 nucleotides) under uncultured bacterium. Its description in RNAcentral is "partial 16S ribosomal RNA". It matches the Rfam family "Bacterial small subunit ribosomal RNA", at positions 28 to 507 of the family's 1533-position model. The record is from RNAcentral.